CCUACGGUAGGCAGCAGUGGGGGAUAUUGCACAAUGGGGGAAACCCUGAUGCAGCGACGCCGCGUGAGUGAAGAAGUAUUUCGGUAUGUAAAGCUCUAUUAGCAGGGAAGAAAAUGACAGCACCUGACCAAGUAGCCCCGGCUAACUACGUGCCAGAACCCGUGGUAAUACGGAGGGGGCAAGCGUAAUCCGGAUUUACUGGGGGUAAAGGGAGCGUAGGCGGUUAUGUAAGUGUGGAGUGAAAGCCCGGGGCCCAACCCCGGGAGUGCUGUGGAAACUGUGUAACUUGAGUACAGGAGGGGCAGGCGGAAUUCGUGGUGUAGCGGUGAAAUGCGUAGAUAUCAGGAAGAACACCGACGGCGAAGGCGGCCUGCUGGACUGAAACUGACGUUGAGGCUCGAAAGCGUGGGGAGCGAACAGGAUUAGAUACCCGUGUAGUC
RNAcentral lists this ribosomal RNA (440 nucleotides) under uncultured bacterium. RNAcentral's name for it is "partial 16S ribosomal RNA". It matches the Rfam family "Bacterial small subunit ribosomal RNA", at positions 338 to 795 of the family's 1533-position model. The record is from RNAcentral.